GCGUACGGCCAUAUCAGCCUGGGUACGCCCGAUCUCGUCUGAUCUCGGAAGCUAAGCAGGGUCGGGCCUGGUUAGUACUUGGAUGGGAGACCGCCUGGGAAUACCAGGUGCUGUAAGCA
This 119-nucleotide ribosomal RNA is filed under the name Salmo salar (Atlantic salmon). Lineage: Eukaryota; Metazoa; Chordata; Actinopteri; Salmoniformes; Salmonidae. The record is from RNAcentral.